This 554-nucleotide ribosomal RNA is filed under the name Klebsiella pneumoniae. RNAcentral describes it as "bacterial SSU rRNA". It matches the Rfam family "Bacterial small subunit ribosomal RNA", at positions 978 to 1532 of the family's 1533-position model. The record is from RNAcentral. Lineage: Bacteria; Pseudomonadati; Pseudomonadota; Gammaproteobacteria; Enterobacterales; Enterobacteriaceae.
GUCUUGACAUCCACAGAACUUAGCAGAGAUGCUUUGGUGCCUUCGGGAACUGUGAGACAGGUGCUGCAUGGCUGUCGUCAGCUCGUGUUGUGAAAUGUUGGGUUAAGUCCCGCAACGAGCGCAACCCUUAUCCUUUGUUGCCAGCGGUCCGGCCGGGAACUCAAAGGAGACUGCCAGUGAUAAACUGGAGGAAGGUGGGGAUGACGUCAAGUCAUCAUGGCCCUUACGACCAGGGCUACACACGUGCUACAAUGGCAUAUACAAAGAGAAGCGACCUCGCGAGAGCAAGCGGACCUCAUAAAGUAUGUCGUAGUCCGGAUUGGAGUCUGCAACUCGACUCCAUGAAGUCGGAAUCGCUAGUAAUCGUAGAUCAGAAUGCUACGGUGAAUACGUUCCCGGGCCUUGUACACACCGCCCGUCACACCAUGGGAGUGGGUUGCAAAAGAAGUAGGUAGCUUAACCUUCGGGAGGGCGCUUACCACUUUGUGAUUCAUGACUGGGGUGAAGUCGUAACAAGGUAACCGUAGGGGAACCUGCGGUUGGAUCACCUCCUU